UAUUUGUGGGUGAAUGAACACCGAAAGUGCAAUCCAAGCUUAUUCGUCCUCCUUCUAUUGAGAUGGAACCAAAACACCUAUGCUUGAAUUGGGAUUAUAACGCACAUUUCACUCUUCGAUUUUUGGGUGAAUGUGCAUUCAAAACCCAAAAACACUAUUUCGAAAUAAGCCCAAUCAGAGCGUUAUCAUCUUUUUAUGUAGAUGGAGGCAAAAACACCUUUUUGCUUUGGUUGGGGUGAUUCUGGUGCACACCCAAAAAACACCAUGCGAAUUGAAAUAAGCCCAAUCAAAGCUUAUUCUUCUUUCUAUGCUAUGGUAGCGGAAAGAUGAUGUUUUGUUAUUUUGGUCUCAUUAAAUACACUUUGCAAUUUCUGGGUCAAUGUGCAUUAAAAGCAAAGAACACGACUUUGAAAUAAGCGAAAUCCAAGAUGCCUCUUUCUAUGUAGAUGGAACUCAAAACAACCUGUUUUGCUUUGUUUAGGCUUAUUACACUUCGCUCUGUUAUUUGUGGGUGAAUGAACACCAAAAGUGCAAUUCAAGCUUUUUCGUCGUCCUUCUAUUGAGGUGGAACCAAAACACCUAUGCUUGAUUUGGGCUGAAAAACAUUUCACUGCGAUUUUUGGGUGAAUAUGCAUUAUAACCCCAAAAACACCAAUUUGAAAUAAGCCCAAUCAGAGCGUUAUCAUCUUCUUUUUAUGUAGAUGGAAGCCAAAACACCUUUUUGUUUUGGUUGGGGUGAUUCUGGUGCACACCCAAAAAACACCAUGCGAAUUGAAAUAAGCCCAAUCGAAGCUUAUUCGUCUUCUUUCUACGCAUAUGGAAGCGGAAAUAUGGUGUUUUUGUUAUUUUGGUCUCAUUAAAUACACUUUGCGAUUACUGGGUAAAUGUGCAUUAACAACAAAGAACCCGACGUUGAAAUAAGUGAAAGCCAAGAUUCUUCUUUCUAUGUAGAUGGAACCCCAAAUAACCUGUUUUGCUUUGUUUGGGCUUAUUACACUUCGCUUUCUUAUUUGUGGGUGAAUGAACACCGAAAGUGCAAUCCAAGCUUAUACGUCCUCCUUCUAUUGAGAUGGAACCAAAACACCUAUGUUUGAUUUGUGCUGAUAACAAAUUUCCCUCUGCGAUUUUUGGGUCCAUGUGCAUUCUAACCCCAAAAACACCAAUUUGAAAUAAGCCCAAUCAGAGCGUUAUCAUCUUCCUUUUAUGUAGAUGCAUGCCAAAACACCUUUUUGCUUUGGUUGGGGUGAUUCUGGUGCACCUCCAAAAAACACCAUGCGAAUUGAAAUAAGCCCAAUCAAAGCUUAUUCUUCUUUCUACGCUAUGGAAGCGGAAAUAUGGUGUUUUUGUUAUUUUGGUCUCAUUAAAUACACUUUGCGAUUACUGGGUAAAUGUGCAUUAACAACAAAGAACACGACGUUGAAAUAAGUGAAAGCCAAGAUUCUUCUUUCUAUGUAGAUGGAACCCCAAAUAACCUGUUUUGCUUUGUUUGGGCUUAUUACACUUCGCUUUCUUAUUUGUGGGUGAAUGAACACCGAAAGUGCAAUCCAAGCUUAUACGUCCUCCUUCUAUUGAGAUGGAACCAAAACACCUAUGUUUGAUUUGUGCUGAUAACAAAUUUCCCUCUGCGAUUUUUGGAAGCAUAUGCAUUGUAACCCCAAAAACACCGAUUUGAAAUAUGCCCAAUGAGAGCGUUAUCAUCUUCUUUUUAUGUAGAUGGAAGCCAAAACACCUUUUUGCUUUGGUUGGGGUGAUUCUGGUGCACACCCAAAAAACACCAUGCGAAUUGAAAUAAGCCCAAUCAAAGCUUAUUCUUCUUCUUUCUACGCAUAUGGAAGCGGAAAGAUGGUGUUUUGUUACUUUGGUCUGAUUAAAUACACUUUGCGAUUUCUGGUCAAUGUGCAUUAAAACCAAAGAAGACGACUUUGAAAUAAGCGAAAUCCAAGAUGCCUCUUUCUAUGUAGAUGGAACUCAAAACAACCUGUUUUGCUUUGUUUAGGCUUAUUCGCUCUGUUAUUUGUGGGUGAAUGAACACCGAAAGUGUAAUCCAAGCUUAUUCGUCCUCCUUCUAUUGAGGUGGAACCAAAACACCUAUGCUUGAGUUGGGCUGAAAAACAUUUCACUCUGCGAUUUUUGGUUGAAUGUGCAUUCUAACCCCAAAAACACCAAUUUGAAAUAAGCCCAAUCAGAGCGUUAUCAUCUUCUUUUUAUGUAGAUGGAUGCCAAAACACCUUUUUGCUUUGGUUGGGGUGAUUCUGGUGCACACCCAAAAAACACCAUGCGAAUUGAAUUAAGCCCAAUCGAAGCUUCUUUGUCUUCUUUCUACGCAUAUGGAAGCGGAAAGAUGGUGUUUUGUUACUUUGGUCUGAUUAAAUACACUUUGCGAUUUCUGGGUAAAUGUGCAUUAAAACCAAAGAACACGACUUUGAAAUAAGCGAAAUCCAAGAGGCCUCUUUCUAUGUAGAUGGAACUCAAAACAACCUGUUUUGCUUUGUUUAGGCUUAUUACACUUCGCUUUGAUAUGUGUGGGUGAAUGAACACCGAAAGUGCAAUCCAAGCUUAUUCGUCCUCCUUCUAUUGAGAUGGAACCAAAACACCUAUGCUUGAGUUGGGCUGAAAAACAUUUCACUCUGCGAUUUUUGGUUAAAUGUGCAUUCUAACCCUAAAAACACCAAUUUGAAAUAAGCCCAAUCAGAGCGUUAUCAUCUUCUUUUUAUGUAGAUGGAAGCCAAAACACCUUUUUGCUUUGGUUGGGGUGAUUCUGGUGCACACCCAAAAAACACCAUGCGAAUUGAAAUAAGCCCAAUCGAAGCUUAUUUGUCUUCUUUCUACGCAUAUGGAAGCGGAAAUAUGGUGUUUUGUUGUAUUGGUCUCAUUACAUACACUUUGUGAUUUCUGGGUCAAUGUGCAUUAAAACCAAAGAACACGACUUUGAAAUAAGCGAAAUCCAAGAGGCCUCUUUCUAUGUAGAUGGAACUCAAAACAACCUGUUUUGCUUUGUUUAGGCUUAUUACACUUCGCUUUGAUAUGUGUGGGUGAAUGAACACCGAAAGUGCAAUCCAAGCUUAUUCGUCCUCCUUCUAUUGAGAUGGAACCAAAACACCUAUGCUUGAAUUGGGCUUAUAACGAACAUUUCACUCUUCGAUUUUUGGGUAAGUGUGCAUUUUAAACCCAAAAACACCAAUUUGAAAUAAGCCCAAUCAGAGCUUUAUUGUCUUCUUUUUAUGUAGAUGGAAGCCAAAAGACCUUUUUGCUUUGGUUGGGGUGAUUCUGGUGCACACCCAAAAAACACCAUGCGAAUUGAAAUAAGCCCAAUCAAAGCUUAUUCUUCUUCUUUCUACGCAUAUGGAAGCGGAAAGAUGGUGUUUUGUUACUUUGGUCUGAUUAAAUACACUUUGCGAUUUCUGGGUAAAUGUGCAUUAACUCCAAAGAAAACGACUUUGAAAUAAGCGAAAUCCAAGAGGCCUCUUUCUAUGUAGAUGGAACUCAAAACAACCUGUUUUGCUUUGUUUAGGCUUAUUACACUUGUUUAGGCUUAUCACUCUGUUAUUUGUGGGUGAAUGAGCACCGAAAGUGCAAUCCAAGCUUAUUCUCCUUCUAUUGAUGUGGAACCAAAACACCUAUGCUUGAGUUGGGCUGAAAAACAUUUCACUCUGCGAUUUUUGGUUGAAUGUGCAUUCUAACCCCAAAAACACCAAUUUGAAAUAAUCCCAAUCAGAGCGUUAUCAUCUUCCUUUUAUGUAGAUGGAAGCCAAAAGACCUUUUUGCUUUGGUUGGGGUGAUUCUGGUGCACACCCAAAAAACACCAUGCGAAUUGAAAUAAGCCCAAUCAAAGCUUAUUCUUCUUCUUUCUAUGCUAUGGAAGCGGAAAUAUAGUGUUUUGUUAUUUUGAUCUGAUUAAAUACACUUUGUGAUUUCUGGGUCAAUGUGCAUUAAAACCAAAGAACACGACUUUGAAAUAAGCGAAAUCCAAGAUGCCUCUUUCUAUGUAGAUGGAACUCAAAACAACCUGUUUUGCUUUGUGUAGGCUUAUUACACUUCGCUUUCUUAUUUGUGGGUGAAUGAACACCGAAAGUGCAAUCCAAGCUUAUACGUCCUCCUUCUAUUGAGAUGGAACCAAAACACCUAUGUUUGAUUUGUGCUGAUAACAAAUUUCCCUCUGCGAUUUUUGGGUCCAUGUGCAUUCUAACCCCAUAAGCACCGAUUUGAAAUAAGCCCAAUCAGAGCGUUAUCAUCUUCCUUUUAUGUAGAUGGAAGCCAAAAGACCUUUUUGCUUUGGUUGGGGUGAUUCUGGUGCACACCCAAAAAACACCAUGCGAAUUGAAAUAAGCCCAAUCAAAGCUUAUUCUUCUUCUUUCUACGCAUAUGGAAGCGGAAAGAUGGUGUUUUGUUAUUUUGGUCUGAUUAAAUACACUUUGCGAUUUCUGGUCAAUGUGCAUUAAAACCAAAGAAGACGACUUUGAAAUAAGCGAAAUCCAAGAUGCCUCUUUCUAUGUAGAUGGAACUCAAAACAACCUGUUUUGCUUUGUUUAGGCUUAUUACACUUCGCUCUGUUAUUUGUGGGUGAAUGAACACCGAAAGUGUAAUCCAAGCUUAUUAGUCCUACUUCUAUUGAGGUGGAACCAAAAGACCUAUGCUUGAAUUGGGCUGAAAAACAUUUCACUCUGAGAUUUUUGGUUGAAUGUGCAUUUUAAACCCAAAAACACCAAUUUGAAAUAAGCCCAAUCAGAGCGUUAUCAUCUUCUUUUUAUGUAGAUGGAUGCCAAAACACCUUUUUGCUUUGGUUGGGGUGAUUCUGGUGCACACCCAAAAAACACCAUGCGAAUUGAAUUAAGCCCAAUCGAAGCUUAUUUGUCUUCUUUCUACGCAUAUGGAAGGGGAAAUAUGGUNNNNNNNNNNNNNNNNNNNNNNNNNNNNNNNNNNNNNNNNNNNNNNNNNNNNNNNNNNNNNNNNNNNNNNNNNNNNNNNNNNNNNNNNNNNNNNNNNNNNAGGAGUGUGGUUACCUUGACCAGGAAAACAGGGACUUGUAGAUAUUUCUUCUGCAUCACUUGAUGGGUGUCUGGUGGUGGGCAAGGGAGAGUUGGGGGCAAACCUGCCAGAAAACCCCUCCCUCUUUGUGACCUAUGUGUGAUGUGUCUGUGAUGUACGCAUGAUGCUUCACCAAAGGUGUUCACAAUGGGCCGCAGGCCAGAUCCAGGCGGCUACUCUUAAGAAAGACCCAACUGUCGGGGAGGGGGUUGUGAAAUCCCCAAAAAGGAUGUUACUUUUUUUCUGUAUGCCACAACAGCUGUGAGAUAUUACUAGCGAAGAAUUGGAAGAAACAAGAUUUGCCAACUAUCGAAGAAUGGCAGAUGAAGAUGAAGGACUGUAUGGAAUUUGCCGAACUGACCGGGAGACUCUGAGACUAGAGAGAAGAGAUGGUGGAAGAAGAUUGGAAGAAGUUUAAGGAAUAUUUGAAAAAAAUAUGUUAAUAUUUAAAUCUUAGAAUAGCUUUGGAAGUGGAUACAGGCUGUAGGGUUAGAAGUAGAAGAUAGUGUGUUUUAAAAUAGUAUUAUUUGUAAAGGAUAAAAUGUGAAGAUUAUUAUGGUAAAAGUAAGGGUGAUUAAAAAAUGGUUAAAAAUAUGAUAUAUGUAAACUGCUAAAGGUGAGGAAAAUGAAAAUCAUAUAGGGGGCACUUGGGGAAGCUCACCUAACAAUGUUUGGAAAAAAUAAGGACAAGACAAGAAUUUGUUUGUAUUGUUUGUUUUUCCGUUUGUGUUGUUUAAUUGUGUUAUAAAAUGAAUUGAAAAAAUUGAAAAAAUAAUAAUAAGAAAGACCCAAGUGUCUCUCCACUGGUGAAGAGUAUUGUUCUUCAGUAUUGCUCCUGAACCCAGAAGGACUCUUGGAUGUGGGGGAAUCGAGGGGCCCUUUGCUCCAGGGUGGCGCCCCACUAGAAGCCACAAGGCAGAGCCCAGCUCUUUAAUCAGAGCCACACCUUUUUAUUUACACUCUUCCAGGUGCAAAGAGCCCCCCCAAAAAAGUCCAGGCUCAGGGCAGCUCAAGUAGGGAGGAGAGGGGCAGGGGGUCAGUCCGUGAGGCUGAGGGAAAGCGCCAGGGGGAGGAAGAAGGCGACCCCCAUGCCAGGCUCACCCGACCUCGAGAGGCCCCNNNNNNNNNNNNNNNNNNNNNNNNNNNNNNNNNNNNNNNNNNNNNNNNNNNNNNNNNNNNNNNNNNNNNNNNNNNNNNNNNNNNNNNNNNNNNNNNNNNNNNNNNNNNNNNNNNNNNNNNNNNNNNNNNNNNNNNNNNNNNNNNNNNNNNNNNNNNNNNNNNNNNNNNNNNNNNNNNNNNNNNNNNNNNNNNNNNNNNNNUACAAACACUUUGCGAUUUCUGGGUAACUGUGCAUUAACACCAAAGAAAACAACUUUGAAAUCAGCGAAAUGCAAGAUUCUUCUUUCUAUGUAGAUGAAACCCAAAAUAACCUGUUUUGUCUUGUUUAGGCUUAUGACACCGCUUUGAUAUGUGUGGGUGAAUGAACACCGAAAGAGCAACUGAAGCUUCGUUGUCCUCUUUCUAUUGAAAUGGAACCAAAGCACCUAUGCUUGAAUUGGGCUUAUAACGCACAUUUCACUCUUCGAUUUUUGGUUGAAUGUGCAUUCAAAACCCCAAAACACCAAUUUGAAAUAAGCCCGAUCACAGCUUUGUCUUCUUUUUAUGUAGAUGGAAGCCAAAAUACCUUUUUGCUUUGGUUGGGGUGAUUCUGGUGCACACCCAAAAAACACCAUGC
Molecule: long non-coding RNA, 6760 nt
Filed under: Podarcis lilfordi (Lilford's wall lizard)
Lineage: Eukaryota; Metazoa; Chordata; Lepidosauria; Squamata; Lacertidae
Source: RNAcentral